AGUGAACGCUGGCGGUAUGCCUAACACAUGCAAGUCGAACGACAGCACAGUAAGAGCUUGCUCUUACGGGUGGCGAGUGGCGGACGGGUGAGGAAUACAUCGGAAUCUACUUUUUCUUGGGGGAUAACGUAGGGAAACUGACGCUAAUACCGCAUAUGAUCUACGGGUUAAUGCAGGGGAGCUGCGCAUAUUUCCCGUUGUAAUUAGACGAUGUCGGAUUAGCUAGUUGGCGGGGUAAAGGCCCACCAAGGCGACGAUCCGUAGCUGGUCUGAGAGGAUGAUCAGCCACACUGGAACUGAGACACGGUCCAGACUCCUACGGGAGGCAGCAGUGGGGAAUAUUGGACAAUGGGCGCAAGCCUGAUCCAGCCAUACCGCGUGGGUGAAGAAGGCCUUCGGGUUGUAAAGCCCUUUUGUUGGGAAAGAAAAGCAGCAGGUUAAUACCCCGCUGUUCUGACGGUACCCAAAGAAUAAGCACCGGCUAACUUCGUG
This 492-nucleotide ribosomal RNA is filed under the name uncultured bacterium. RNAcentral's name for it is "partial 16S ribosomal RNA". It matches the Rfam family "Bacterial small subunit ribosomal RNA", at positions 29 to 507 of the family's 1533-position model. The record is from RNAcentral.